UACGUAGGGGGCGAGCGUUGUCCGGAUUUAUUGGGCGUAAAGAGCGUGUAGGCGGCCAGGUAGGUCUGCUGUGAAAACUCGAGGCUCAACCUCGAGACGUCGGCGGAAACCAUCUGGCUAGAGUCCGGAAGAGGAGAGUGGAAUUCCUGGUGUAGCGGUGAAAUGCGCAGAUAUCAGGAAGAACACCCGUGGCGAAGGCGGCUUUCUGGGACGGUACUGACGCUGAGACGCGAAAGCGUGGGGAGCGAACAGG
RNAcentral lists this ribosomal RNA (253 nucleotides) under uncultured bacterium. RNAcentral describes it as "partial 16S ribosomal RNA". It matches the Rfam family "Bacterial small subunit ribosomal RNA", at positions 524 to 776 of the family's 1533-position model. The record is from RNAcentral.